This 87-nucleotide transfer RNA is filed under the name Proteiniborus ethanoligenes. RNAcentral's name for it is "tRNA_Leu_CAA". It matches the Rfam family "tRNA". From Rfam's summary of the family: Transfer RNA (tRNA) molecules are approximately 80 nucleotides in length. Their secondary structure includes four short double-helical elements and three loops (D, anti-codon, and T loops). Further hydrogen bonds mediate the characteristic L-shaped molecular structure. tRNAs have two regions of fundamental functional importance: the anti-codon, which is responsible for specific mRNA codon recognition, and the 3' end, to which the tRNAs corresponding amino acid is attached (by aminoacyl-tRNA synthetases). tRNAs cope with the degeneracy of the genetic code in two manners: having more than one tRNA (with a specific anti-codon) for a particular amino acid; and 'wobble' base-pairing, i.e. permitting non-standard base-pairing at the 3rd anti-codon position. The record is from RNAcentral. Lineage: Bacteria; Bacillati; Bacillota; Clostridia; Eubacteriales.
GCCGAUGUGGCGGAAUAGGCAGACGCACCGCACUCAAAAUGCGACGAACGAACGUUCGUACCAGUUCGACUCUGGUCAUCGGCACCA